GAAAUCAGCAAGGGGAAAGCCAUAGUUAGGGUUUUUAAGCUUUCAAGCUCAAUAAUCAAUAAAGACGAGAAGACUACCUCAAACGGGGAAAAGAGAAAGUAGUGGAGUAAAUUGCAAAAUUUCGAUAUUUUGCACCGAGUGAUUUCCAUCAACUCGGAAUUGGGACGGAGUCAGACAAUCAUCUACACUAUCAUCCACGUUUGGAUAUUUUGCUACUAGUAUUCCGGAAAUUAUGGCAUGUAUAGACGACUUAUGUAAUGGGGCGUCACCAUGUAAAUAUAUGUUAUGGUUCGAUUUAAAAUGUAGU
Long non-coding RNA from Gossypium raimondii (Peruvian cotton), 307 nucleotides. RefSeq lists it as uncharacterized. The transcript has 3 exons. Lineage: Eukaryota; Viridiplantae; Streptophyta; Magnoliopsida; Malvales; Malvaceae. The record is from RefSeq and is a predicted model, not a curated record.